Molecule: RNA transcript, 2355 nt
Organism: Myxocyprinus asiaticus (Chinese sucker)
Lineage: Eukaryota; Metazoa; Chordata; Actinopteri; Cypriniformes; Catostomidae
Gene name: glucose-6-phosphatase catalytic subunit 1-like
Exons: 3
Source: RefSeq, a predicted model, not a curated record
GAUUAUUAGUGAAGCUAUCUUUAGUGGUCGAAAUAAUAGUUCAACCUAAAUGAUAGCGUGGUGUAGAUUGAGUGACAUUAGCUGAUCGCAACAAACAUGAGAUGAGGUAAUGAUCUGAGAUGUCAUCGCUCUGCAGCAGAAUUUCUAUAGUAUCAACAUCAACUCCUUAUGACAGAAUUAAAUCUAGCGUAUGAUUAUGGCGAUGAGUUGGUCCUGUCACAUUUUGUCUGACUUCAAGAGAGUUGAGAAUAUCGAUAAAUGCUAAUCCCAAUGUGUCAUUUUCAUUAUCUAUGUAAAUGUUGAAGUCAUCAACAAUUAAAGGUCUAUCUACAUUAACUACUAGAUCAGAUAGAAAAUUUGCAAAUUCACCAAGGAAACCAGAGUAAGGUCAAGGUGAUCUAUAUACUGUCGCAAAUGCAAAAGAUGACAGAUAUUUAUUUUAAUUUAUUAUUAUUUAAAUCUGAUGGUGUCAUAUUAAGCAUUAUUAGUUCAAAAGACUUAAACUUAUAUCCUGUCCACUGAGUAACACCAAAAACGUCACUGUAAAUUGUAGCAACACCUCCUCCUCGACCCUUCAGACAAGGCUCAUGUUUAUAACAAUAACCAGGGGGAGUAGAUUCAUUUAAACUAAUAUAUUCAUCUGGUUUAAGCCAGGUUUCAGUCAAACAGAAUGCAUCCAAACUAUGAUCUACAAUCAUUUAAUUUACAAUUAGUGCUUUGGUACAAAGAGAUCUAAUGUUUAGUAGUCCUACCUUUAUAUGAUGUUUAUCUUCAAUUUAUUUAAUUUUUUUCAAGUUUGACCUUAAUCAAAUUUUUUUUUAAAUGAUUUAGUGAGAGUUUUGUGUUUGGUAGUUCGGGGAACAGACACAGUCUCUAUGUGAUCUCUAGGUGAUACAGUCUCUAUGUGUUGUAGUUUAUGUGACCUAUGUGACGUCUCAAGGCAGCUAGCAGACAUUCGGAUUAACUAGUUUGUCUGCUUCCUGACCUGGGCCCCAGUUAGUCAAAUACUAUCAUUAUUAAGACUAUGAGCCAAGUUACUAGAGAGGAGAGCGGCACCUUCUCUGGAGGGAUGGAGUCUGUCUCUCUUUAGCAGGUCAGGUCUACCCCAAAAACUCUUCCAGUUUUCUAUAAAUCCUAUGCUAUUCUCCAGACACCACUCAGACAUCUAGCCGUUCAGUGACACUAAUCUACUAUAAACCAUGUCAUCACAAUGAGCAGGGAGGGGGCCAGAGCGUAUUACAGUGUCUGUCAUCGUUUUUGCAAGUUCACACACCUCUUUAACAUUAUCUCUAGCGAUCUCUGACUGGCGAAGCUGGACAUCAUUAGCACUGAUAUGAAUAACAAUUUUAGAAAAUGUACAUUUAGCAUUAGCCAGCACUUGUAAAUUUGAUCUGAUGUCAGAUGCCCGUGCCCCCGAAAUGUAUUUAACAAUGUUGUCUGGAUCUCUAUUUUCACGUUCCUUACAAUAGAAUCACCAAUUAUUAAGGCUCUUUCAACAUGAUUUUUAGUGGGUGCAUCACUGAGUGGGGAGAAUCGAUUGGAAACCCUAACAGGAAUGGGAGAGUGGUAUCGCUUUGCUGAGCGAGUAUGCUGACGAGACAUAACCCAAACACCCUGCUGCGGGGGCUCUUCAGCCGGAACCAAAGUGUGUGUGUCUGUACUACCCGCAUCCAAAACAGUAUCUACCAGCUUCUCUUUCUCACUGACCUCCACUAGCGUGCGGAUGCGUGUCUCUAACUCAUUAACCUUCUCUGUCAGCCUGACUAAUUCCUUACAUUUAUCACAUGUAAAUCCCUCACUGCUGAAAGAAGAAGCUAUAGUAAACAUGUGGCAUAAUGCAGGAAGCGAUAAAAUGAGCAGGUGCCAUGACUUAACGCAAUUGUUUGUUUUUGUUGUUGUUAUGGUCCUAAUCAGCUGAUGUUUGAUACAUAUGGUGAUGGGUGCAUGGUCGUGUGUCUGUCUGCAGGAGAGAGGGAGUGGUGUGGCUCGCCAAGCUGGUUGACAUAAUUUCUAACAGCUGUUUCUCAUUACAGUGAUAGCGGAGAGACACCUUAAAACAGCUGAACACGGCAGAAGAGAGAGAGAGAAUGAGUGCGCAACAUUGUCAAACGGGAGCUGCGGGGAUCCAGGGAAUUUUCAGGACUCCAAGUCGAGUGAUACCGGAGAGAUGCCUUACAACAGCUGAACAUGCCAGAAGAGAGAGGGAGAGAGAACAAGAAUUGCAGUGGCCAAGGCUUUUUAUCGGGUUUCCUGGAUCUACUCCGCAAGCUUGAAGGGUUAUGUGCAUACCAUCCUCUGUCUUCUCUUUGUUGCCCUGGGCCUUUAUGCCCUGUUGGAUGCUGCCUCAAUAGACCC